Molecule: ribosomal RNA, 565 nt
Filed under: Clostridiales bacterium oral taxon 381
Lineage: Bacteria; Bacillati; Bacillota; Clostridia; Eubacteriales
Description: bacterial SSU rRNA
Rfam family: Bacterial small subunit ribosomal RNA
Source: RNAcentral
CCACGGCUAACUACGUGCCAGCAGCCGCGGUAAUACGUAGGUGCGAGCGUUAUCCGGAUUUACUGGGUGUAAGGGGCGUGUAGGCGGCCGCAGCUGGAUGUGAAAUACCGUGGCUAACUGCGGGGCGUCAUCCAAAACUGUCGGUCUUGAGUGUCAGAGGGGAAAGUGGAAUUCCUAGUGGAGCGGUAAAAUGCGUAGAGAUUAGGAGGAACACCGGUGGCGAAGGCGACUUUCUGGCUGGCAACUGACGCUGAGGCGCGAAAGCGUGAGGAGCAAACAGGAUUAGAUACCCUGGUAGUCCACGCCGUAAACGAUGAUUACUAGGUGUAGGUGGUAUCGACUCCAUCUGUGCCGCAGCUAACGCAUUAAGUAAUCCACCUGGGGAGUACGGCCGCAAGGUUAAAACUCAAAGGAAUUGACGGGGGCCCACACAAGCAGUGGAGUAUGUGGUUUAAUUCGAGGCAACGCGAAGAACCUUACCAGGGCUUGACAUCCUCUGAUCACUGUAGAGAUACAGAUUUCCCUUCGGGGACAGAGAGACAGGUGGUGCAUGGUUGUCGUCAGC